This 28-nucleotide small RNA is filed under the name Bombyx mori (domestic silkworm). RNAcentral describes it as "ovarian small RNA-4171". The record is from RNAcentral. Lineage: Eukaryota; Metazoa; Arthropoda; Insecta; Lepidoptera; Bombycidae.
AAACACAGUAACAGAUUAAGCUAGCGGG